This 440-nucleotide ribosomal RNA is filed under the name uncultured bacterium. RNAcentral describes it as "partial 16S ribosomal RNA". It matches the Rfam family "Bacterial small subunit ribosomal RNA", at positions 338 to 795 of the family's 1533-position model. The record is from RNAcentral.
CCUACGGGAGGCAGCAGUGGGGGAUAUUGCACAAUGGGGGAAACCCUGAUGCAGCGACGCCGCGUGUGGGAAGACGGUCCUCUGGAUUGUAAACCACUGUCCCCAGGGACGAAGAUGACGGUACCUGGGGAGGAAGCUCCGGCUAACUACGUGCCAGCAGCCGCGGUAAUACGUAGGGAGCGAGCGUUGUCCGGAAUUACUGGGUGUAAAGGGCGCGUAGGCGGGGAUGAAAGUUGGGGGUAAAAACUACGGGCUCAACUGGUAGUCGCACUCAAAACUGCAGCUCUUGAGUGAACUAGAGGCAGGCGGAAUUCCUAGUGUAGCGGUGAAAUGCAUAGAUAUUAGGAGGAACACCAGUGGCGAAGGCGGCCUGCUGGGCUUUUACUGACGCUGAGGCUCGAAAGUGUGGGGAGCAAACAGGAUUAGAUACCCGAGUAGUC